This 346-nucleotide ribosomal RNA is filed under the name uncultured bacterium. RNAcentral's name for it is "partial 16S ribosomal RNA". It matches the Rfam family "Bacterial small subunit ribosomal RNA", at positions 338 to 681 of the family's 1533-position model. The record is from RNAcentral.
CCUACGGGGGACAGCAGUGAGGAAUAUUGGUCAAUGGACGCAAGUCUGAACCAGCCAAGCCGCGUGCAGGAAGAAGGCUCUAUGAGUUGUAAACCGCUUUUGUAAGAGGGUAAAGAGCGAGACGUGUACCGGGUUGAAAGUACCGUACGAAUAAGGAUCGGCUAACUCCGUGCCAGCAGCCGCGGUAAUACGGAGGAUGCAAGCGUUAUCCGGAUUUAUUGGGUUUAAAGGGUGCGUAGGCGGUCCGUUAAGUUAGCGGUGAAAGUCUGUGGCUCAACUCCGGCAGUGCCUCUGAUACUGUCGGGCUUGAGUUUAUUUGCGGUAGGCGGAAUGUGUGGUGUAGCGG